This 2845-nucleotide long non-coding RNA is filed under the name Helianthus annuus (common sunflower). RNAcentral describes it as "hypothetical non coding rna". The record is from RNAcentral. Lineage: Eukaryota; Viridiplantae; Streptophyta; Magnoliopsida; Asterales; Asteraceae.
GGCAGUUAUCGCCCCCCAUAUCUUCCUCCCACAUCGCUGAAAACUGCAUAUGCAACCUACGCUCAUCAUAAUCCUUCCUUUUGUAGCAAAAAUUGUGUUCAAUCACCUUCAUCCUCACUCUUAUUUCUUACACAAAGCCCUAAUUUUUUUUUCUUCCUUCUCGAAUUCACAUCUAAAUUGGUGAAAUUAGAAGGUUCGUCCAUGUGAUCACAAUGCAUUUAACAUAAAAGAAGAGACGGAUGUGAAAUCAAGCAACGAUGGAGGAUGGCCCAAAUUUUGGAGGGUGGAUUAUGAUGGAGGGCCACCCUCACUUUUUUCUUCAUUCUAAAACAUAUAUUACAUGAUGGAGGGUGACCCAAAUUUUGUUUGGGGUUUUUAGCAGGUGAACGCUCCUCCAUAAAUCGUACUCCAUUGCUGGAAAGUAUCAGAAAGCUUACAAUCGGUAGAAUUUGACUCAAGAGGUUACAAAACAGUUUCCAAGUGCAGUUCUAUCAACCCCCACUACCCAAAAUUGCGGUACACUUUUCUUAUAGAAACCAUACAUCCAACACUCUGGUUCUCCAGACGCAGAAGAGGAAGAGCAAGAUUCGAGAGCUGACUCUUCGAGAAAUUAGCGACAUUAAGCCAUCACUAUCAUCUUCUUCAGCAGCAAUUUCAUUAGCAUGAAAUUAUUUUAUUCGAUUGGCAGCAGGUGGCAGCACAUAGGUAGAGCAUCCACUUCAACUGUUAUAAGAUCAUGGGGGUUAUGUUAUUUUAUUUGAAAGAACUGAGAAGACACAUAGACGCCCAAAAGCUACGAGGUCUAAAACUGAGGCGCGAAGCGCAAAAGCAGCGGGCUUUUCGUACCCAAGGCGCAAAGUGAGUAUAUAAAAUCUAUUGUACAACAGUUUAAUGCAUAAAAACAACGUAAAAACACCCUAGGUACAAGAGGCGCGCUCCUCAGGUCAGAAAAACCGUCCAAAAUUGCUCUAUUUGGUGCUUCUUGUAAGAAGCACGCCUCAGGCUAUUAAAGGUGCCAAGGCUUGCGCCUCACGCGUCAGGCGCACUUUUUAAAACCCAGAAUAGGAGGUGGUGUUAUAGAAGAGUUUUAGAAGGAAUGGAUUGUUCCCACAGCCCACACCCUUAAUUUCAUUAUAUAACCGAAUUCCAAAGUCAUGAGCCAAAGGUAUGCAUUAUCUCCAUCUUUUUCUUAUAACAAAAUUAGAUUCCUUGUGGUUUGUUUCAUGUGAAUUAAUUCUACUGUUGGUGCUUGUAUCUUCGGUUUGACUAUCUAAAAAGCUUGGAAAUUGAGGAGAAUAUCAACAAGAUCAGAUGGUGUUAAAGAACUAACAACGCCAUGUUUUUGCUGUCCUUUAAUUAUAAAACUCUAAAAUUCUUGAAGGUACAGGUUCUAGAAAAAGGUCUGAUAGUAUUAUAGUACCACUGUAAUAGGUUGCCAUAUAAUGUUUUUUUAUAUUAUACACGGUCUAAGGUGGCAUCAUGGGGGUUGGUUGGGUCGCGUAACCUGUUAAAACGGAUAAUAUUUUUAGGGUGGGUCCAAGCAUGUUGGAUUGGGUGAGUUGACCUGCGAUUACAGAAAACUAUUAUUAGUGUAAUAAUUUUAAUUUUUAAUAAAAUUAUCUAAGACUUUCUUUGCAUUGAAGGGUCGAAACUGUUUUUUUGUGUGGAUUAGAUGGGUCGUGUAACCUUUCCCGAUUGCAACACCAACACGUUGUACGUUACCAUCAGGUAAGUUUCUAUGUUGUCCUUUUUCACAAUAUAUAAGAGGUAGUAAAAUGGGCAGGACUGACAAGGCCAGAAGGUGCAACUUUUUGUUACAGGUCGGGUCUAACCGAACGCUCUUUAUGUGUAAAUUUAUUAAAUUUUCUUUGCAAAUAAUUACUAUUUGGCACAUUUCGUUUUACGUUAUAUUUUUACGUGUUUGACCCGUUUGAGAUGAAACAUAGCUUGAAUUUACACUUCCAUAAGUGAAUGGGUCAAAGUUAGAAGACUGUUAUAUACUACAUCAAGUAGAACGCCAUGUAAAAUAUGAUCAUGUCACUAGCUUUUGAAGGUGACUCAUAUGUAUUUGUGAAAAAUAAUCCAGGCAUGGUUUGCAACAGGAGAUGCUAGUUGUUAUGGUGAUGCCACAUGGGGUUCAAGGACUACAGUUAGCUCUAGCUUCAAUAUAUAGAUCAUAGUUCGACGGAUGUCGUUGGGCACUACAAGUCUACAACAAAGUUGAAACAUAUCUUUAUAUUCGGAAUACUGUCCAAGGCAGUUGUGUCUACUGUAGAGGAGAUAAAUCCUAAUGUCUACAUGUGAGCUGUUCUUUGUUACUUUGUGCCUGAUGGGGUGUCUCUGCACUCAAAAGAACUGAAAGAACGGGCACAUCAAAUAGGAAUGUAAACGUUUUACCCACAAGCUAUCCAAGGUUACAACACUAUUAGAUGUCAUUGACGAAGUCUUUUCUUUGACAUAUAGAUAUGUCCAUUGCUACUUCGAGUUUUCACCAAGGUCGGCGGUCAUCACAGCCACGUAGACUGUAUUCAAAAGACGAAAUUUAAAUAUAUACAUGGAUGGAUGCUACACUUCAUGAGCUAACUGAUCUGGUAUGCCAAAUGAUCCAUAUUUGGACAAUUUAAUUUGUGCUUUGUGGUCGAAAGUGUAUUCCAUGUUCUUUUUUGUUCCUUGAACACGCUAUCCAUUAAAAAAAACACCACUUAGGAUCAAGUGGGUUAUGCAUUAUGUAUGUAAUAAAAUAUGGGAGUUCUUCAUCAAAAGAUAGUGCUGUUGUAUGUAUGUAAUAAAAUAUGAAAGCACUUUUAUUUGUCUGACAUUACUGCUCCGCUUUUGAAAGCACUUU